UACUGAAAUGUAUAUUAAAAAAUAGACGCUGAUACUUAGAAGUGUUUACUGAUUAUUCUUAAGUAUUUUCUUAUUUACUCGGAAUUUGAUUAAAAGGAAAACAUACAAGAAACGCACGUCAACACUUUUUUAAAUCAGUUUACACUUGAGAUGUAUACAAUCCUCAAAAUAUUUACUUUUCUACAUUUAUUUAUCGACAACCAGCAUGUCGUUCGUUUCGUCCGAAAGUGAAGAUAGUGGCAAUGAGAGUGUUUCAAAAAGUAAAGAGUCGGAUGUAACAUUUGUGGCCAAAUAUUUGAGGGAUAACCCUAUUAUUUUAAAUAAAGGGAAAACUCCGGAGAUAAAUUAAUAAAAAACAAGACGUCUUAGCCACUCUUAAACAACAUUAUGAGAGUAAGUUAUCAUGUCUUAUUAUAAAAUGUUGUAAGCUAACUAUGAAAGCAUUGUAGAUAAAUUUGGAAAACCAACAAACUCCAAAAAAUUAUUAAAAAAAAUAAUAUCCUGAAGGCGGUAGUAAAAAAACUCAUGCCAACAUAACUGGGAAUAAAAAGAAAAAUCUAAGUGCAGCAAACUCAUGUACACGGCACUACAAGGGGAUCAAGAGGAGUGCAAUCCUGUUCUUUUCAAAAUACCUGAUAAAAUAAUUAUAUUUUUAUUACAUAUAAGGUAGCUAGUGUAAUAUUUCGUUUCAGGACAUGUUGCAGUCGGAAUCCUUCUGAUGAACAGUUCAUGGUUCUAUAAUUUUUGUCCGUCAGUCGCUUCAACACUGCCACCAUCGUUACCUGCACGUCCAAAGCGACAAAAAUUAUAGAACAAUACGAAACGGAGGAAACACGUACGUUAAGCACGACGGAGCUACAAAGAUUGGUGCUUUUGAAGUAACUACAUGUUCUAAAUCUUAAAAAGGCAAAACUGGAGAAAGAAUUAAAUAAAGAUCACGUUCUAAGAGAAGGAGAGAAAACUUAUAGUAUGUUGUAAUAAUUAGAUAUAUGUAUUUUCAAUUUAAUAAAAAUUAUGUUAGUUAUUUUGAUUGGCGUAAAUAAUUGUGGCUAAACGGUUACGUAUGACUUGACCUUCCCUUCGAAGUUCAAGUCGUCCAACAGGUGCUUCAUCUUCGAUGUUGUCAUCGUCUAAAGGUAAGCCUUCUUCAAUCUCAAACACUUCUUCAUCUUUUAAAUACUUUCCAAUAUUAUGAAGAACACAACAUGCUAUCAUAAUAGAUGGCACUUUUCUUAAUGGCAGUCUAAUUGUAUUUUGUAAUAAAGGGAAUCGUUGCUUUAAAUGUCCGAAGACGACAAAGUUUCGAUAGUUACAGUAUUAACUUACGAAACCGUAAGUAUUAAGUAUCUACUGAUUUUUAUUAAUACCACUAAAUGAGUGGUAUGAAUAAAAAUGAAGUACAUGCUAAUACUAAAAAUUUAAGGAUCUACUUAGAAGUAUUUUCUUCAUCAUGAAGCAUUUGGUCGGUUCAGGUAGAACUUGCUUGACGUCGGAGUAUUUACUACACUGAUUAAAUUAUUUACUUUUAGUCUACAGUAUAUUCUUCAACAUUUUUGUAGCAUCUUCUCGGCCUAUCUGCUUUGUUUAUUUUUCAAAUCGGUAAUAUUCGUAGAAAGGUUUAAACAGCUAUGCACGUAAAGUUUAGGUUAAUGUUUACAUUUGUGAUAAGGAAUCCCAAAAUAACUCGUUUAAAAUGUAAAAUUCCCCCUUCCGGACACUGCACACUCAAUGUACGUACUGUCUUGAUCAUUUGGUUUUACCAUUGCCUUCAGUAAAAUUGUUGAAGUAGAAGUGGUGUAUUAUCCGACGUUCGGUUAGACAAAAAUGUCUUCAGAUGAAGAAAUGCCUCAAGAAGAAGAGUCCCAAAUGGAAGAUUAUAACAAUAAUACAAAAGUUGGACAGUAAGCAAAUACUAAAAAAAAUAAUAACAUGAAAAGCAAAAUAAAGAAAAUAACGGAUAUGAAAAGAACAGGAACUAAGAAGAUUAAAUUAAAUGAAUGGCAACAAAAAUUUUAUGACCUAUGCAACGGAAAUGAGAAUCCACUAAUACAAAGAGUCCCAGGUAUACACGCUUUUUUAUUUAAAUUAAUUCCAUAAAAAUACUAAAUUUGCCCACCCUGUACGCGUAGUAAUAAUCACUUUAAAUUACUCAUAUCUUUAGGUGGGGUAAAUGCAGGCACCAGUCGAGAUGCAAAUGCCGAUCGAUUUUUUGAGGAAGAGGAUUUUAGUGACGCCAACCAAUCGAUUGAACAAUAAUUGCAAAAAACUUUAGUUCUGAAACAAAUAAAUGAGGCUAUAGCUCAAGAAAAGGCUGCUAUAGCUCAGGACAAAGCUGCCACAUCUGUGGAAAAAACUGCAGGGGCUUUAGAACCAUUUAUAGUAAAUUACUUUGCACGACACUUUGAUGGUUGAAAAAAAUGGGAAAUUGGUGUAUCUAUUAUUCUCAUUAAACUUUUAGUUGGUUUUCAUAAAAAAAUGUUUGGGGUUUGCGUUUCUAUUCCAAUUACUUUUAAUUUUAAUUAUAUUAUAAGUUUUCCUGGAAAAUAAAAAACAAAAAAUAUUAGAUUAUUUCUUUAUUAUUUCAACGUUGUCUAUACAGGGUUAUCAUUUUAGUUUGGCCCACUUUUAAAAGCUUAUAACUUUUUUAUUCUUUUAAUUAAUUGUUUUUGCAUGCUUUUGUCAAUCUUCAAUGAAAUUAAGAAGAAGAAUGCAAAUAUGUGAUACAUUUCUGAAUUCGGAGAAAAGAGGACUAUCUAAUGCGCUACUAAUAUACAGGGUGUCCCAUUUAAAAAGUUUUUUUUAGUUUUAAAAAUCUGACAUGUAACACCUACUGUCAUUUUUGACAACACUCGCAAAAACUUGUCUGAAACUUCUACAAUAUGUUUUUUGAAUGAAUGCUUUAACACAACAAACAAAAAAGUUAUAAGCUUUUAAAAGUGGGUCAAACUAAAAUGAUAACCCUGUACAUCAAUUCCGCAAUCUCAUUACGAACCUGAAUACCUCGACGUCUUAUAUCAGCGUUAUUUAGUUCAGUUCUUCGACAUCCAUUUCUUCAAACUGUUCAAGUGGAUCAUUCAACGACUUUUACGCACAAUUACGUAAAAUAAAUCCACACAUAAUAUAUCGACAUAUUCUGUUAGUUUUAAGUCGUACUGUAUAGUUUAACAUUGGGAAUCUUCUUUUCAACUGCCCAAAGCAUCUUUCUAUAAUAACACGUUCUUUUGCAUGUAUUUUAUUGAAAUAUUUUUCACUAUUUGUUGUCGGAUUUUGGAACGGUGUGAGCAUCCACGGAGUUACAGCAUAUCCGGAACCACACAAAAGACAUACCCUUUCUGGAUUGUUAUACAUAACAGGAUAAGUGGAAGAAUUGUACCAAAUUCUAGAACUAUGGACAGAUCCAGGCCAUGUUGCAUAUAAGUUGGUAAACAUUUCUCUACUGUCACAUGUGGCUUGUAUAUUUAUUGAGGAGUUUCGUUUACUUCUGUCAGAAAUGUAGUAGCCAGUUUAUACUAGUCGCCAAACAAUGGCCCGGAUGGACGAUAGGAAAAUCGAACAAUUGAUAUUAUUAGUUAGGGAAUAUGAUGAAUUAUUUGAUUAAUUGGAGAAAAUGGUAAGUUAGUUUUAAUAAUAUAGGUAACUAAACUGAAUUUUGUGUUGCAAUUAAAGUCACAUGAAAAUCGUUUUUUAGGAAUUGUAACUAAAUAUCGUGCUAAGAGGUAAAGGUAUAGAAAUAAGCUCGGAAAUAAGAAAUUAUAACCACAGCAAGUUUUUGCUUUAUUAAACAGUCAAUAUUUACAAAACUAGAACAAUACUGUAAGCCGUUUUCAAAAAGAAAAAAAGUAGAUUAAAAAAUAGAAACCAGAAAGCCGACUACAAAGAAGAAAAGAAAUAUAAAGUAAAUCGAUAAAUUACCGUUAAACGUAUAAGAAGUUUGUCAAUAUAUUUUUUUGCGCGUUAUAACUGCGCGUCACUUGUUCAAGUCAAACACCUUAAAUUUUGGAUCAUUUUUAAAAGUUCGUUUCUCAAUAACAAGAGGGCCGAUUUUGCUGAAAUUUGGAUAGGAUUUAAACCUAUCCUCUGGUAUCCUAAUUUUUAAUUGAUGACAAAAUUUAACAUACCUGCUUUAAGAUACAGGGUGAAACACAAACUGCUGUAAUUUUACGAAAACUUUAAGUGAUCCCCAUUUUGCUAUUUUGGUGUCGAAUAACAGAUUUUAAUUAAAUAGGUAUUUCUUUUUAGCCGACACUUGCUAAAAAAAUGGAAAAGCUUAUGGUAUGGCUUUCAACGAGCAAACAAAAACGUAACCAAGAGUAGUCAAGCUGCGAAAAAUAUUAAAAAAUGGGAAACGAUGUCAUUUCUUCAGCCAUAUAUAAAAGGCAGACAACACCAUACAAACAUCGUCGAAGAGCAGGUCACAGAACAAACUGAUGUUGUUACGAGUCAAAAAUUUUAUAAGAAAAUUCAGUAGGCAGUCAUUUUCUACAGUUCCUUAAGAGCAUGAGAUACUCAGCUUGUUUAUGAGCAUACUCACUUGUUUAUCAUUUGGUUCUAUUCAUUAUAUGUAUUUAUAUUUUCAAUAGGGUUUCUUUGAUAUAUUUUGUACUUCUAGCUGUUAAAAAGAAAUAAAAUAUGAGUUACUUUCUAUAAAUUUAAUUAUUGUUAUUAUGAAAUAAAUUUUUAUUUGAAAA
Molecule: long non-coding RNA, 4688 nt
Organism: Sitophilus oryzae (rice weevil)
Lineage: Eukaryota; Metazoa; Arthropoda; Insecta; Coleoptera; Curculionidae
Exons: 3
Source: RefSeq, a predicted model, not a curated record